This is a long non-coding RNA of Gorilla gorilla gorilla (western lowland gorilla), 400 nucleotides long. RefSeq lists it as uncharacterized. The record is from RefSeq and is a predicted model, not a curated record. NCBI's taxonomy places the organism in Eukaryota, Metazoa, Chordata, Mammalia, Primates, Hominidae. The transcript is spliced from 3 exons.
AACAGGUCCACUGGGGAACCACUUCCUCCAAGGCCAGGAAACAGGCCUGCUGGGGAACCACUUCCUGGGAGGCCAGGAACUAGACCCACUGGGCUACCACUUCCUCUGGGGAACCACUUCCUCAAGGGCCAGAAAAUAGGUUGCCCAGAGGUUAGGCCCAGGUACCCUGGUUGACUCCUUCUAGAAAAGACACUGAGCAAGUCGUGUUCUGGAACAUAAAACCUCAGCCAUAAAGAAGAUCUAAGAAGAGAAGCUACCCUGAAAUGUGAGAGCUUGACCUCGAAACAACACCGAAAAGAAAACUGGACCAAAGAAAACAUAUAGGAUAUGUGCAUUUCUUAGUCAUCUAUAAGGACCAUGGCCCUAUGUCGAAGGACUGUUCAGUCAAAUGAUAAUAUUG